This 466-nucleotide ribosomal RNA is filed under the name uncultured bacterium. Its description in RNAcentral is "partial 16S ribosomal RNA". It matches the Rfam family "Bacterial small subunit ribosomal RNA", at positions 28 to 507 of the family's 1533-position model. The record is from RNAcentral.
GACGAACGCUGGCGGCGUGCUUAACACAUGCAAGUCGAACGGUAAGGCUCCAGCUUUCUGGGGUACACGAGUGGCGAACGGGUGAGUAACACGUGGGUGACCUGCCCUGCACUUCGGGAUAAGCCUGGGAAACUGGGUCUAAUACCGGAUAGGACCAUGGUGUACAUACUGUGGUGGAUAGUAGUUUCGGAGUGGGACGGGCCCGCGGCCUAGCAGCUUGUUGGUGGGGUAAUGGCCUACCAAGGCGGCGACGGGUAGCCGGCCUGAGAGGGUGGACGGCCACAUUGGGACUGAGAAGCGGGCCAGAGUCAUACGGGAGGCAGCAGUGGGGAAUAUUGCAAGAUGGGCGGCAGCAUGAUGCAGCGACGCCGCGUGGGAGAUGACGGCCUUCGGGUUGUAAACUCCUUUCACCAUCGACGAAGGGUUUCUGACGGUAGAUGGAGAAGAAGCACCGGCUAACUACGUG